CCAAUAGCGUAUAUUAAAGUUGUUGCAGUUAAAAAGCUCGUAGUUGAAUUUUGGAUUCUACCAAUCGGUCCAUCUUUUGAUGAGUACUGGUUGUGUGGGGUCUAUCCGCCUGGUAAUACGUAAUGUCCUUUAUUGGAUGUUGCGGGUAGUCAGGACCUUUACCUUGAAAAAAUUAGAGUGUUUAAAGCAGUCUUAUGCCGGAAUACAUUAGCAUGGAAUAAUAGAAUAGGACGAAGUUGUUUUAUUUUGUUGGUUUCUAGGACAACCGUAAUGAUUAAUAGGGAUAGUUGGGGGCAUUAGUAUUCAAUUGUCAGAGGUGAAAUUCUUGGAUUUAUUGAAGACUAACUAUUGCGAAAGCAUUUGCCAAGGAUGUUUUCAUUAAUCAAGAACGAAAGUUAGGGGAUCGAAGACGAUCAGAUACCGUCGUAGUCUUAACCAUAAACUAUGCCGACUAGGGAUCGGGCGAUGUUGUUUCAAUGACUCGCUCGGCACCUUAUG
Molecule: unclassified non-coding RNA, 498 nt
Filed under: uncultured Archaeospora
Lineage: Eukaryota; Fungi; Glomeromycota; Glomeromycetes; Archaeosporales; Archaeosporaceae
Description: SSU rRNA
Rfam family: Eukaryotic small subunit ribosomal RNA
Source: RNAcentral